GACGAACGCUGGCGGCGUGCUUAACACAUGCAAGUCGAACGGAAAGGCCCUGCUUUUGUGGGGUGCUCGAGUGGCGAACGGGUGAGUAACACGUGAGUAACCUGCCCUUGACUUUGGGAUAACUUCAGGAAACUGGGGCUAAUACCGGAUAGGAGCUCCUGCUGCAUGGUGGGGGUUGGAAAGUUUCGGCGGUUGGGGAUGGACUCGCGGCUUAUCAGCUUGUUGGUGGGGUAGUGGCUUACCAAGGCUUUGACGGGUAGCCGGCCUGAGAGGGUGACCGGCCACAUUGGGACUGAGAUACGGCCCAGACUCCUACGGGAGGCAGCAGUGGGGAAUAUUGCACAAUGGGCGGAAGCCUGAUGCAGCGACGCCGCGUGCGGGAUGACGGCCUUCGGGUUGUAAACCGCUUUCGCCUGUGACGAAGCGUGAGUGACGGUAAUGGGUAAAGAAGCACCGGCUAACUACGUGCCAGCAGCCGCGGUGAUACGUAGGGUGCGAGCGUUGUCCGGAUUUAUUGGGCGUAAAGGGCUCGUAGGUGGUUGAUCGCGUCGGAGGUGUAAUCUUGGGGCUUAACCCUGAGCGUGCUUUCGAUACGGGUUGACUUGAGGAAGGUAGGGGAGAAUGGAAUUCCUGGUGGAGCGGUGGAAUGCGCAGAUAUCAGGAGGAACACCAGUGGCGAAGGCGGUUCUCUGGGCCUUUCCUGACGCUGAGGAGCGGAAGCGUGGGGAGCGAACAGGCUUAGAUACCCUGGUAGUCCACGCUGUAAACGGUGGGUACUAGGUGUGGGGUCCAUUCCACGGGUUCCGUGCCGUAGCUAACGCUUUAAGUACCCCGCCUGGGGAGUACGGCCGCAAGGCUAAAACUCAAAGGAAUUGACGGGGCCCCGCACAAGCGGCGGAGCAUGCGGAUUAAUUCGAUGCAACGCGUAGAACCUUACCUGGGUUUGACAUGGAUCGGGAGUGCUCAGAGAUGGGUGUGCCUCUUUUGGGGUCGGUUCACAGGUGGUGCAUGGCUGUCGUCAGCUCGUGUCGUGAGAUGUUGGGUUAAGUCCCGCAACGAGCGCAACCCUUGUUCACUGUUGCCAGCACGUUAUGGUGGGGACUCAGUGGAGACCGCCGGGGUCAACUCGGAGGAAGGUGGGGAUGACGUCAAGUCAUCAUGCCCCUUAUGUCCAGGGCUUCACGCAUGCUACAAUGGCUGGUACAGAGAGUGGCGAGCCUGUGAGGGUGAGCGAAUCUCGGAAAGCCGGUCUCAGUUCGGAUUGGGGUCUGCAACUCGACCUCAUGAAGUCGGAGUCGCUAGUAAUCGCAGAUCAGCAACGCUGCGGUGAAUACGUUCCCGGG
RNAcentral lists this ribosomal RNA (1343 nucleotides) under uncultured bacterium. Its description in RNAcentral is "16S ribosomal RNA". It matches the Rfam family "Bacterial small subunit ribosomal RNA", at positions 28 to 1378 of the family's 1533-position model. The record is from RNAcentral.